CCGGGUGUAGGGCAGAUUGGUCAGCCCGUCUCCCUUGGGAGGAGAAGGUCGCAGGUUCGAAUCCUGCCACUCGGA
This 75-nucleotide transfer RNA is filed under the name Nonomuraea soli. Its description in RNAcentral is "Nonomuraea sp. YIM 120770 tRNA". It matches the Rfam family "tRNA". From Rfam's summary of the family: Transfer RNA (tRNA) molecules are approximately 80 nucleotides in length. Their secondary structure includes four short double-helical elements and three loops (D, anti-codon, and T loops). The record is from Rfam by way of RNAcentral. RNAcentral also lists the same sequence under 1 other name. Lineage: Bacteria; Bacillati; Actinomycetota; Actinomycetes; Streptosporangiales; Streptosporangiaceae.